GUCGGACCUGCCCAGUGAAGUUUAAACGGCCGCGGUACUCUGACCGUGCAAAGGUAGCAUAAUCAUUUGCCUUAUAAUUGAAGGCUGGAAUGAAUGGUUUGACAAGAAUACACCUGUCUCUUUUAGAUUAUUUAGAAUUUUAUCUUUGGGUGAAAAAGCCCAGAUCUUAUUAAAAGACAAGAAGACCCUAUCGAGCUUCAGAAAAAUUAAUAGAGAUUAUAUUUAAUAUUAAUUAAAAGAAAAGCUAUUGAAUACUUUGGUUGGGGCAACCGAGGAGUAAAUAAAGCCUCCUUUAAAUAAGAAGUCUUACUUGUGAAGAUCCAAGAAUUUUGAUCAAAGAAAUUAGUUACCGUAGGGAUAACAGCAUUAUCUUUUUUGAGAGCCCAUAUCGAAAAAAAGGUUUGUGACCUCGAUGUUGGACCAGAAUAUCCUAAAGAUGCAGAAGUCUUUGAGGGUUGGUCUGUUCGACCAUUAAAAUUC
Molecule: ribosomal RNA, 480 nt
Filed under: Conus judaeus
Lineage: Eukaryota; Metazoa; Mollusca; Gastropoda; Neogastropoda; Conidae
Description: partial 16S ribosomal RNA
Rfam family: Bacterial large subunit ribosomal RNA
Source: RNAcentral